Molecule: ribosomal RNA, 493 nt
Filed under: uncultured bacterium
Lineage: Bacteria
Description: partial 16S ribosomal RNA
Rfam family: Bacterial small subunit ribosomal RNA
Source: RNAcentral
AUUGAACGCUGGCGGCAUGCCUUACACAUGCAAGUCGAACGGUAACAGGUUAAGCUGACGAGUGGCGAACGGGUGAGUAAUAUAUCGGAACGUGCCCAGUCGUGGGGGAUAACGUAGCGAAAGCUACGCUAAUACCGCAUACGAUCUACGGAUGAAAGCGGGGGAUCGCAAGACAUCUCGCGAUUGGAGCGGCCGAUAUCAGAUUAGGUUGUUGGUGAGGUAAAAGCUCACCAAGCCUGCGAUCUGUAGCUGGUCUGAGAGGACGACCAGCCACACUGGAACUGAGACACGGUCCAGACUCCUACGGGAGGCAGCAGUGGGGAAUUUUGGACAAUGGACGCAAGUCUGAUCCAGCAAUGCCGCGUGCAGGACGAAGGCCUUCGGGUUGUAAACUGCUUUUGUACGGAACGAAACGGUGAGCUCUAAUACAGUUUGCUAAUGACGGUACCGUAAGAAUAAGCACCGGCUAACUACGUGCCAGCAGCCGCGGUAA